Erinaceus europaeus (western European hedgehog) is the source of this 633-nucleotide long non-coding RNA. RefSeq lists it as uncharacterized. The transcript has 3 exons. The record is from RefSeq and is a predicted model, not a curated record. NCBI's taxonomy places the organism in Eukaryota, Metazoa, Chordata, Mammalia, Eulipotyphla, Erinaceidae.
GUGCUGCUGGGGACUGAGUUCAGGACCUCACGCUUGAGAGUCUGAUGCUUUAUCCACUGCGCCGCCUCCCAGACCAACAAGAUGAAGCUUUUGUUGUUAACAUAUGGACUUAUUAAUGGGGUUAUUGGCGGGGCUUGGUGCCUGCACUGCAAAUCCACUGCUCCUGGAGGUCAUUCCUUUUCUUUACUUGAUAGGACACAGAGAAGCCCAGAGGGAAGAAACACACCUGCAGUACUUGCUUCCUCCUUUGUGAAACUUCUUCCCUGCAGGCGGGGAACAGGGACUGGAACCCUGGUCCUUGUGCAUAGUGACAUGUGCACUUAACCAGAAGAAGAACUACCAGUUGAAUCCUCCCAUCAACAUUUGAUGGGGGGGGGGGGGGGGAGACAUUAAAUGGAGUAAGGAGAGCCUCCAGGCUAUAUCUUAAAAAAAAAAAAGAGUCCAGAAUCCAGCAAAGCAGCCACAGCCCAGGUCAGAGACAAACACUCUCACCCCACCAGCCUGUGCCCCAAGAUUGUAGAAGGCAGUUUUGUAAUCAUACCUCCACUGGCCUUUUACGAACGUGUGAACAUAUCUGGUCUUUCCACACCAUUGGUGUUGAAGUUUGAUGACUACGGUUUCGACAACUAGUCU